Molecule: small nuclear RNA, 61 nt
Organism: Rattus norvegicus (Norway rat)
Lineage: Eukaryota; Metazoa; Chordata; Mammalia; Rodentia; Muridae
Gene: Rnu2-7
Product: RNA, U2 small nuclear 7
Source: Ensembl
AUCGCUUCUCGGCCUUUUGGCUAAGAUCAAGUGUAGUAUCAAGUGUAAAAGUCCAACAUUU